CCUACGGGAGACAGCAGUGAGGAAUAUUGGUCAAUGGACGAGAGUCUGAACCAGCCAAGUAGCGUGAAGGAUGACUGCCCUAUGGGUUGUAAACUUCUUUUAUAUGGGAAUAAAAUGUUCCACGUGUGGGAUUUUGUAUGUACCAUAUGAAUAAGGAUCGGCUAACUCCGUGCCAGCAGCCGCGGUAAUACGGAGGAUCCGAGCGUUAUCCGGAUUUAUUGGGUUUAAAGGGAGCGUAGGUGGAUUGUUAAGUCAGUUGUGAAAGUUUGCGGCUCAACAGUAAAAUUGCAGUUGAAACUGGCAGUCUUGAGUACAGUAGAGGUGGGCGGAAUUCGUGGUGUAGCGGUGAAAUGCUUAGAUAUCACGAAGAACUCCGAUUGCGAAGGCAGUUCACUGGACUGCAACUGACACUGAGGCUCGAAAGUGUGGGUAUCAAACAGGAUUAGAUACCCCGGUAGUC
RNAcentral lists this ribosomal RNA (460 nucleotides) under uncultured bacterium. Its description in RNAcentral is "partial 16S ribosomal RNA". It matches the Rfam family "Bacterial small subunit ribosomal RNA", at positions 338 to 795 of the family's 1533-position model. The record is from RNAcentral.